GGGUUGUGGCUCAGUGGUAGAGCACUUGCCUAGCAUGUGUGAGGUUCUGGUUCGAUUCUCAGUAGCACA
Molecule: transfer RNA, 69 nt
Filed under: Marmota monax (woodchuck)
Lineage: Eukaryota; Metazoa; Chordata; Mammalia; Rodentia; Sciuridae
Description: tRNA.Ala
Source: RNAcentral